CUUCUAAGAGAGCUUGUCCAGAUUUACCAAGCAUCCCUAUCAAAAGUCCUCAUCCUAAAGUUCUUGCGCAGAUCUUUCGCAGACUUAUUUCUCAGACACGUUGUGGAAUCACAACUAUUUAAUGACCUCACCCACUGUUGUCCAUGAUGAUGGUAUAAAAUUUCCUUAGUGGGCCACAGCAGGUAAAUCAUAGAGGCCGUACAACUCUGCUAGUCAAAUCCUCCAGCUGAAUAUCAAAACA
This 241-nucleotide unclassified non-coding RNA is filed under the name Hevea brasiliensis (rubber tree). The record is from RNAcentral. Lineage: Eukaryota; Viridiplantae; Streptophyta; Magnoliopsida; Malpighiales; Euphorbiaceae.